This 253-nucleotide ribosomal RNA is filed under the name uncultured bacterium. Its description in RNAcentral is "partial 16S ribosomal RNA". It matches the Rfam family "Bacterial small subunit ribosomal RNA", at positions 524 to 776 of the family's 1533-position model. The record is from RNAcentral.
UACGUAGGGUGCGAGCGUUGUCCGGAAUUAUUGGGCGUAAAGGGCUCGUAGGCGGUUUGUCGCGUCGGGAGUGAAAUCCACUGGCUUAACUGGUGGCUUGCUUUCGAUACGGGCAGACUGGAGGUAUGCAGGGGAGAACGGAAUUCCUGGUGUAGCGGUGAAAUGCGCAGAUAUCAGGAGGAACACCGGUGCCGAAGGCGGUUCUCUGGGCCUGUACUGACGCUGAGGAACGAAAGCGUGGGGAGCGAACAGG